CCCCGCCCCACAGCCCUGACUCCUUCCCCGCUGCCAGGGCUCCGAGGGAGCAAUCAGACAAUAAGGGGAAUGUCAUGCCCUUUCCCACCCUGGAGCCCAGCUCUGGGGCCUCAUCAAGUCGAGCAGUGCGGCAGCUGGGACUGGGCUGGAUUCGGAGGUUUGGGGCUCCUUGGUCGUUAGCAUGUGGACAGUGGCUGAAUCAUGGAAUACAUGACGACAUCCUGCAGAGUGAGGCCAAGGAGGGAAGAGGCCCAGAGCAGCACCUGGAGGGGGGUGGGAGAGUCAGAAGAAAGUUCUUCCCUCUCUCCCAGAACCCCCUCACCGUCUUCGAUGACCAGGCUGAGGUUGGGCUCAAGUGGAUAAAGCACAUAACCUAUCAAGAAACAGGGAGAGGAGAGGAAGGAAGAGUAUGACCUGGACUGGACAGUGUGAACUCUCAAGGUGUGUGUCCCCUGCCACCUGUGGACUUUGUGAUUUUAUACAUUGGGAAAUGGAAGUCAGGGAGCAGAGCAGCUUGGCUGGAAGAAGAAGGAAUAGCAGGACUCUGUUGAACCCUAAGGCAUCCAGCCCAAUUGGAGCCUUGCAGGCUCCAGCUUGCCUCAGUCAUCCAUUCCACAACAUGUAGAGAGCCCCUACUGGCUAGAAGACACGGAGGCAGGCCUUAUGGUGAUGGCAAGAUGCAGAAGCCACCCUCAAGAUGCUGGAGAGGAGAGAAGACAAGCCCACGGUUAAACUCGGGACCCUCAGGGCUGUAUAGUAAGAACCAUAACAGAGGAAAGUGACACAGAGGGAGGCCUGGGAAUCCUUCAAGGGAGU
Long non-coding RNA from Herpailurus yagouaroundi (jaguarundi), 816 nucleotides. RefSeq lists it as uncharacterized. The transcript has 3 exons. Lineage: Eukaryota; Metazoa; Chordata; Mammalia; Carnivora; Felidae. The record is from RefSeq and is a predicted model, not a curated record.